CCAACGGCUCUUUUAAGAGCCACCACAACUUCUAAGAGCAAAACUAU
Orchesella cincta is the source of this 47-nucleotide regulatory RNA element. It matches the Rfam family "Histone 3' UTR stem-loop". Rfam says of the family: The mRNAs of metazoan histone genes lack a poly-A tail. 3' end processing occurs at a site between a highly conserved stem-loop (modelled by this family) and a purine rich region around 20 nts downstream (the histone downstream element, or HDE). NCBI's taxonomy places the organism in Eukaryota, Metazoa, Arthropoda, Collembola, Entomobryomorpha, Orchesellidae. The record is from Rfam.